AAAAUCGCAUAUCUCAGAAUUGGGGAGGAUCUUCCUUAUGCCAGAUCGAACAGUCAUAUGAGCAGCCGAGCUUCCUUCAGUCUUGUAAAAGACAGACGCCUUCUCCCUGUCCAAACCAGUCAUACACAUCUCAAGAGUGUAAACAGGGUCAUUAGACUGAAUAGGUCCUGCGGAGGCAGAGUAAACAUGCCAUUUCUGUGCUUUGUCAGGACUGCCCAUAAUCACAGCCUUGCUACCAGCAGCAAGCUUUCCAAAAUAGCCAUCAAGGACAGCAACUUCUUCAGAAAAGUGACGGUGAGGAAACGACUGAGCACCAGGGAAAAUGAAGCUCCCACGGGUAUACCUCACGUCUUGUACUUUGAGAGACAGGCUCUCAGCCAACUUUAGAAUGGGCGGAAUUGCGAGAAGCAACUUAGUGGUGCCACAGGUUUUGAUGAUUAUCUUGUAAGAAUAAACGAAGAGGCUCGACUCGGAGAGGACAUAGGAAUCAACAUCGUCAUUUGAUAGGGAAUCAACAAUGGUGCACUCAGCAGGUCCGAGAAUUUCAUCCAAUUGUGCCUUUGAGAGAGAUCGAAGUCCUUUUCCGUUAGGAUCAGCAAACAGACCAGGCUCGAAGAACGAAAUUUCAAGCCUCUUCUCGAAACCUUCAAAACCAAUGGCGGAGACCGGCAAGGCCAUAUCCAUGAUGAAAAAUGUUCACAGCAGCAAAAGAAGUUAAAAGAGGAAAAUGUUCCGAGCAAUGAGCACAAAAGCAGAAAGUAGUAAAAGAAGGAAGAAAAGGAGUGAGGGCGCAAAAGAAACUGAAAGCAGAAAUUUUUUUUUGUUUUUUUUUUUGGGUUGCGUCUAUUGACGCGUUAAGGACGGAAGGU
This 869-nucleotide long non-coding RNA is filed under the name Nicotiana tabacum (common tobacco). Its description in RNAcentral is "long non-coding RNA (NTAB_LNC003295)". Lineage: Eukaryota; Viridiplantae; Streptophyta; Magnoliopsida; Solanales; Solanaceae. The record is from RNAcentral.